UACGUAGGGCGCAAGCGUUGUCCGGAAUUAUUGGGCGUAAAGAGCUCGUAGGUGGCUAGUCGCGUCUGCCGUGAAAACCCGAGGCUCAACCUCGGGCGUGCGGUGGGUACGGGCAGGCUAGAGUGUGGUAGGGGAGACUGGAACUCCUGGUGUAGCGGUGAAAUGCGCAGAUAUCAGGAAGAACACCGAUGGCGAAGGCAGGUCUCUGGGCCAUUACUGACACUGAGGAGCGAAAGCAUGGGUAGCGAACAGGAUUAGAUA
RNAcentral lists this ribosomal RNA (261 nucleotides) under uncultured prokaryote. RNAcentral describes it as "partial 16S ribosomal RNA". It matches the Rfam family "Bacterial small subunit ribosomal RNA", at positions 524 to 784 of the family's 1533-position model. The record is from RNAcentral.